Molecule: ribosomal RNA, 481 nt
Filed under: uncultured bacterium
Lineage: Bacteria
Description: partial 16S ribosomal RNA
Rfam family: Bacterial small subunit ribosomal RNA
Source: RNAcentral
GAUGAACGCUGGCGGCGUGCUUAACACAUGCAAGUCGAACGAAGCACUUUAUUUGAUUUCCUUCGGGACUGAUUAUUUUGUGACUGAGUGGCGGACGGGUGAGUAACGCGUGGGUAACCUGCCUUGUACAGGGGGAUAACAGUUGGAAACGGCUGCUAAUACCGCAUAAGCGCACAGCAUCGCAUGAUGCAGUGUGAAAAACUCCGGUGGUAUAAGAUGGACCCGCGUUGGAUUAGCUAGUUGGUGAGGUAACGGCCCACCAAGGCGACGAUCCAUAGCCGACCUGAGAGGGUGACCGGCCACAUUGGGACUGAGACACGGCCCAAACUCCUACGGGAGGCAGCAGUGGGGAAUAUUGCACAAUGGGCGAAAGCCUGAUGCAGCGACGCUGCGUGAGCGAAGAAGUAUUUCGGUAUGUAAAGCUCUAUCAGCAGGGAAGAUAAUGACGGUACCUGACUAAGAAGCACCGGCUAAAUACGUG